UCAGGCAUGCCUCAGUACGGCGAGUGAAGCGGCAAAAGCUCAAAUUUGAAAUCUAGCACCUUCGGUGUUCGAGUUGUAAUUUGAAGAUGGUAACCUUGGGUUUGGCUCUUGUCUAUGUUCCUUGGAACAGGACGUCAUAGAGGGUGAGAAUCCCGUCUGAUGAGAUGCCCAUUCCUAUGUAAGGUGCUAUCGAAGAGUCGAGUUGUUUGGGAAUGCAGCUCUAAGUGGGUGGUAAAUUCCAUCUAAAGCUAAAUAUUGGCGAGAGACCGAUAGCGAACAAGUACAGUGAUGGAAAGAUGAAAAGAACUUUGAAAAGAGAGUGAAAAAGUACGUGAAAUUGUUGAAAGGGAAGGGCAUUAGAUCAGACUUGGUGUUUUACGAUUAUCUUCUCUUCUUGAGUUGUGCACUCGUAUUUCACUGGGCCAGCAUCGAUUCGGAUGGCAAGAUAAUGGCAGUUGAAUGUGGCUUCACUUCGGUGGAGUGUUAUAGCUUCUGCUGAUAUUGCCUGUCUGGAUCGAGGGCUGCGUCUUUUGACUAGGAUGCUGGCGUAAUGAUCUAAUGCCGCCCGUCUGA
RNAcentral lists this ribosomal RNA (573 nucleotides) under Hansenula anomala. Its description in RNAcentral is "eukaryotic LSU rRNA". It matches the Rfam family "Eukaryotic large subunit ribosomal RNA", at positions 69 to 656 of the family's 3401-position model. Lineage: Eukaryota; Fungi; Ascomycota; Saccharomycetes; Phaffomycetales; Wickerhamomycetaceae. The record is from RNAcentral.